ACAGAGACAGCAAGCAUGGAGGAGGGGCAGAGAGAGAAAGGGAGACAGAGAAUCCCAAGCAGGCUUUGCACUGUCAUUGCAGAGCCUGACGUGGGGCUCAAACUCACGAAACCACGAGAUCAUGACCUGAGCUGAAACCAAGAGUCAGAUGCUUAACCAACUGAGCCACCCAGGUGCCAUGGGACACUUGUCUUUUAUGUGGCCAUUAGAUGCAGUUUCUAUUUCUGCAGCACAGGUUGCUCGGGCGGUAAAAGAAGGCAGGUGCGUGUCCUGAAAUGCAUGAAGUACAUCCUAGUGGAGAGUGCACACACAGAAGGAAGCAGCUACUCAGCCAUGCGGCACUGUAACUCCUAGGAAGAAUCAGCAGCAAGGAAAUUGGAUACGGAUGAACACCAGGGAGGACACUGCUGGCCACUGAAGGGAAAGCCCAAUGUAGGCAGGAGGCCAGAAUGCGCCAACGCUUUCAGGGGAUACAAUGACACAUAAAGCACAGACAGUGAGACCUGAGAGGAAGAAGAUAAAAGGAAGGCUGUGGAACCAGAGUGUUAAGAAAUCUCAUAGCUGACAAUUUGCUAGCAAAGAACAGGAUGCCUACAAAAUUCGUUAAG
Panthera uncia (snow leopard) is the source of this 608-nucleotide long non-coding RNA. RefSeq lists it as uncharacterized. Lineage: Eukaryota; Metazoa; Chordata; Mammalia; Carnivora; Felidae. The transcript has 3 exons. The record is from RefSeq and is a predicted model, not a curated record.